RNAcentral lists this ribosomal RNA (497 nucleotides) under uncultured bacterium. RNAcentral describes it as "partial 16S ribosomal RNA". It matches the Rfam family "Bacterial small subunit ribosomal RNA", at positions 28 to 507 of the family's 1533-position model. The record is from RNAcentral.
GAUGAACGCUGGCGGCGUGCCUAAUACAUGCAAGUCGAGCGAACGGACGAGAAGCUUGCUUUUCUGAUGUUAGCGGCGGACGGGUGAGUAACACGUGGAUCACCUACCUAUAAUACUGGGAUGACUUCGGGAAACAGGAUCUAAUACUGGAUAAUAUUUUGAACCGCUUGGUUCAAAAGUGAAAGACGGUCUUUCUGUCUCUUAUAGAUGGAUCCGCGCUGCAUUAGCUAGUUGGUAAGGUAACGGCUUACCAAGGCAACGAUGCAUAGCCGACCUGAGAGGGUGAUCGGCCACACUGGAACUGAGACACGGUCCAGACUCCUACGGGAGGCAGCAGUAGGGAAUAUUCCGCAAUGGGCGAAAGCCUGACGGAGCAACGCCGCGUGAGUGAUGAAGGUCUUCGGAUCGUAAAACUCUGUUAUUAGGGAAGAACAUAUGUGUAAGUAACUGUGCACGUCUUGACGGUACCUAAUCAGAAAGCCACGGCUAACUACGUG